CAUUUGCAGCCGUAUUGAGGUUGCUGUUUUUAAUUUUAAAACCGCAUUAAAAGGGAAUCAGGUGAAAGAUUGCAGAUUGCAGAUUUUAGAUUGUAACAAUCAAAAAAAUCUAAAUCGAAAAUCCAGAAUCCUGGGCUGUACCCGCAACUGUAAGCUGUCAAGCUUGUUGUUAUCUACAAAACCACUGUUCAAAAUUUUAGAAUUGAGAUUUCAGAUUUUAUCAAAUCGGAAAUCAAGAAUGGGAAGGUAAACAACAAGACGCAAGCCAGGAGACCUGCCUAUUACAUCGAGUAUCA
Molecule: non-coding RNA, 296 nt
Filed under: Flavobacterium fluvii
Lineage: Bacteria; Pseudomonadati; Bacteroidota; Flavobacteriia; Flavobacteriales; Flavobacteriaceae
Source: RNAcentral